This 253-nucleotide ribosomal RNA is filed under the name uncultured bacterium. RNAcentral's name for it is "partial 16S ribosomal RNA". It matches the Rfam family "Bacterial small subunit ribosomal RNA", at positions 524 to 776 of the family's 1533-position model. The record is from RNAcentral.
UACGUAGGGCGCAAGCGUUGUCCGGAAUUAUUGGGCGUAAAGAGCUCGUAGGCGGCUUGUCACGUCGGAUGUGAAAGCCCGGGGCUUAACCCCGGGUCUGCAUUCGAUACGGGCUAGCUAGAGUGUGGUAGGGGAGAUCGGAAUUCCCGGUGUAGUGGUGGAAUGCGUAGAUAUCGGGAGGAACACCAGUGGCGAAGGCGGUUGCCUGGGGCUUUGCUGACGCUGAUGCGCGAAAGCGUGGGGAGCGAUCCGG